GGACAGCCUGAAAGGACCCAGGUCGCAAGGAGCUGGCACCCUGGGAUCGAGGGAGUGAGAAUCGCUUGAUGUCACCUCACCUGGCACAGGGGCCAGCGCGGGUGACGGGGAGGGACCCUGAGGUGCGUCGUGGUCCUAGACUACCUGUCUACGGUGUCUCAGAGGGAAGCAGUUGGUCCGGCGGGGAGGGGACGCGGCGCCAGCAGCAGCUGCUCACGGAAGGGCUGGAAGGGGCCGCAGGCCGGACCUAGAGCAGCCACCAGAAUCGGAAAACAAGGGUGCUCUGCCCUGGAGCCUCCAGAGCCCAGCCCUGCACACACCUUGGUUUCAGGCCAGGAGACCGCCUGGGGCCUCGGAACGCCAGGGCUGCAGGAUGAAUCGGUGUUGUUUUAAGCCACUGGGCGCGUGCUCACUGUGUCAGCGGUGAUGGAAUACCAGGAAGCAUCAGCUGGAAGGUGGAGUGGGUGGCCGGCAGGACCUCCAGGCCUGGCCCAGAGCACCGACCCUCCUUCUGGCCAUAGGGAGCCAAGUAGGCCCGGGGCUCAGCUCUUCCCGGCAUCGCUGGGGUGGAGUCUCGGGGUGAGGGUGGGGCUUUGAUGGGGAGGAGGGCCUGGCGUGGUUAUCACCCCCAAUCCCACUUUUCCAACCCAGCCUCCGCCUCAAGCCCCAGUCAGGGGAACAGGGGCCAUGGCAGGAGCUUAAGGUCCAAGGGGCCCAGCGAGCUGUCCAUUAGUGCCAGCUGCGGGGAGACCGCCCAGGCAGCCGGACCCUUGACCUUCUCUGCUGGCAUAAUCCUGGAGAGCUUCUCGGCCUGACCAGAGGCAAGGAGGAAGCCUCGGUCCUGGACAGGGUUCUCGUACAGCGGAGAAGCCAGAGCAGACAGGUGUCUGGGGAGAUGACAAAGGAGACCUGUGGUGGGAGACUGCUGCUACGGCACCAGUCCCAGCAGUCAACGAUGGGGCCCAACAAGGCACAGGCCCCGCCGCGUGGGAGAGUCAAGAGACCACAGCAUUUGGGGCUGUCGUCGCCUCUGGUCAGCCGCCGCCACCGCCUGUGUCACUGGACAGCUGGGUUUAAGCACAGGGGAACCACAGCUCGGAAUCUCAGCACGGGUCUCAGCAGGCGAACGGUAGAAAGGGCUCUGGUUGGUGGAGGUCCCGUCAUGGCUCAGUGGUUAACAAACACGACUAGCAUCCGGGAGGGCGAGGGUUUGAUCCCCGGCUUCGCUCAGUGGGUUAAGGAUCUGGUGUUGCCGUGAGCUGUGGUGUAGGUUGCAGACGUAGCUCGGAUCCCAUGUUCCUGUGGCUGUGGUGGAGGCCAGCAGCUACAGCUCCGACUCAG
This 1341-nucleotide long non-coding RNA is filed under the name Sus scrofa (pig). RNAcentral's name for it is "lncRNA (ENSSSCG00035055748.1)". The record is from RNAcentral. Lineage: Eukaryota; Metazoa; Chordata; Mammalia; Artiodactyla; Suidae.